This 71-nucleotide transfer RNA is filed under the name Marmota monax (woodchuck). Its description in RNAcentral is "tRNA.Ala". Lineage: Eukaryota; Metazoa; Chordata; Mammalia; Rodentia; Sciuridae. The record is from RNAcentral.
GAGGUUGUGACUCAGUGGUAGAGCGCUCACCUAGCACGUAUGAGGCUCUGGGUUAGAUCCCCAACACCACA